AGCGGGACCGGGAGCGGGACCGCGCCUCGGGCCCUGAGCGGGCACCCGUGUGCCCCUCAGCCACCGGCCGCCGCGGGUGGGCUGCUGUAAGGAAGUUUCCCGAUCUGCGUUGUGAUAAGCAGCUGUCCCCAAACAUCGGCAGAAAGAGGGAAUGAGGCUGAGUAAGAUCCAGACCUCUGCCAAUCCAAAGGGAAACAUCUAAACCCACCAAAUGCAUUGCAACCAUUCUGACAUGGAGUGACAAGACUCAAAAUCAGCACUGCAGGUAAAUGUGCAUCUUUGAGUUAUAGUGUUGUGUUGAAGCAUCACGCAGCCUUCUUCAGCUGCUGCUGUGCCUUAG
Molecule: long non-coding RNA, 340 nt
Filed under: Gallus gallus (chicken)
Lineage: Eukaryota; Metazoa; Chordata; Aves; Galliformes; Phasianidae
Description: long non-coding RNA NONGGAT006865
Source: RNAcentral